Caenorhabditis elegans is the source of this 21-nucleotide non-coding RNA. Lineage: Eukaryota; Metazoa; Nematoda; Chromadorea; Rhabditida; Rhabditidae. The record is from Ensembl.
UCAGUUUUGAAAUGUCACGAU